UUCGCGUUCACGGAUCUCUCCUUCAGAACUUGGACAAUGGCGCAGCGUUUUGUGAAGAAGCAGCUGAUAAACAAAGGGAUCUAACUCAGGAGCCCAAAACACAGCAACAACAAGCCAGAGUUCAGAUGACCCCUGUCUUGAACAGAGUGUUUCCUGUUGGAGCCUAGAAAGUGACCCGUCUCAUCUAGAGGGACCUUUAUUGACAAAUGGCCCUGAACUCUUCAAUGACAGUGAAGCAUUUCCCACAGCACAAGACCACACAAAAGACAUUGAGAAUUCAGGACUUGAAUCUGAUAUGGAAUAUUUGUAUUCUGUAGAUGUAAAUGAUGAAGAGUGGGCUUGUGAUGAUAACCUACUGGAAUACUGUAGUAAAGAGAGACUUACAGUUGAUGGAACCAGAAUGAAAAACUUGAACGCUGGGGAUUGUCCCCUUUACAGAGAUGCUCCAAUAUCUAUUGCAGAGAGUCUUCUCCUCAUAAUGACCUUUGCUAAUAGACACAAAAUUACAGGGAAGGCUUUGGGUGAC
Molecule: long non-coding RNA, 526 nt
Organism: Pygocentrus nattereri (red-bellied piranha)
Lineage: Eukaryota; Metazoa; Chordata; Actinopteri; Characiformes; Serrasalmidae
Exons: 3
Source: RefSeq, a predicted model, not a curated record